CAAGGGAGUGGCGGACGGGUGAGUAACACGUGGGUACCUACCCUGUGGUGAGGAAUACCGGCGAGAAAUCGCCGACAAUACUGCAUACGUUUGUAAUGCAAACAAAGCUCGGGCAACCGGGUGCCAUGGGAAGGGCCUGCGGCCGAUUAGCUAGUUGGUGGGGUAAGAGCCUACCAAGGCGACGAUCGGUAGCUGGUCUGAGAGGACGAUCAGCCACACUGGGAUUGAGACACGGACCAGACUCCUACGGGAGGCAGCAGUAAGGAAUAUUGGCCAAUGGACGGAAGUCUGAACCAGCCAUGCCGCGUGCAGGAAGACGGCCCUACGGGUUGUAAACUGCUUUU
Molecule: ribosomal RNA, 344 nt
Filed under: uncultured bacterium
Lineage: Bacteria
Description: bacterial SSU rRNA
Rfam family: Bacterial small subunit ribosomal RNA
Source: RNAcentral